RNAcentral lists this unclassified non-coding RNA (257 nucleotides) under Hevea brasiliensis (rubber tree). Lineage: Eukaryota; Viridiplantae; Streptophyta; Magnoliopsida; Malpighiales; Euphorbiaceae. The record is from RNAcentral.
CACGCUUCAUUCCUGCCUACCAAUUUCACCAUCCAAAAUUGCAUGCCUAGUUAAAACUAUCUCCUUGACAAGGUUCCUGUAAGUGAAGGGUCUAACUGCUGCUCGCAAGAACAACUCUGGAGGAAUUUUACUCCUCCGAAUCCUCUUCCUCCAUCUGCCAAUUCCUGCAACUUUCCAUUCUUCUGGACUCACUUUUGCUCUAACACCUCUCAAGGCAGUUUCAUCUUCAUCUUUAUUUUUUAUCUUUUCCCGCGUUU